AUUGAACGCUGGCGGAAUGCUUUACACAUGCAAGUCGAGCGGCAGCACGGGGGUAAUCCUGGUGGCGCGCGGCGAACGGGUGAGUAAUACAUCGGAACAUGCCCAGUCGUGGGGGAUAACACUUCGAAAGAAGUGCUAAUCCCGCAUACGUCCUGAGGGAGAAAGCGGGGGAUCGCAAGACCUCGCGCGAUUGGAGUGGCCGAUGUCAGAUUAGCUAGUUGGUGGGGUAAAGGCCUACCAAGGCAACGAUCUGUAGCUGGUCUGAGAGGAUGAUCAGCCACACUGGAACUGAGACACGGCCCAGACUACUACGGGAGGCAGCAGUGGGGAAUUUUGGACAAUGGGGGCAACCCUGAUCCAGCCAAGCCGCGUGAGUGAAGAAGGCCUUCGGGUUGUAAAGCUCUUUCGGCAGGGACGAAACGGCGAGCUCUAACAUAGCUUGCUAAUGACGGUACCUGAAGAAGAAGCACCGGCUAACUACGUG
RNAcentral lists this ribosomal RNA (484 nucleotides) under uncultured bacterium. RNAcentral describes it as "partial 16S ribosomal RNA". It matches the Rfam family "Bacterial small subunit ribosomal RNA", at positions 30 to 507 of the family's 1533-position model. The record is from RNAcentral.